CACGCAGUAAACGAUGAUCACUAGACGUCUGGUCCUUUGGACUGGGUGUCGCAGCUAACGCGAUAAGUGAUCCACCUGGGGAGUACGGUCGCAAGAUUAAAACUUAAAGAAAUUGACGGGGAUCCGCACAAGCGGUGGAACAUGUGGUUUAAUUCGAUACUACGCGAGGAACCUUACCUGGGCUUGACAUGUUUAUGAUCGCCAUAGAGAUAUGGUUUUUGAAGGGAAACCGGAUACAUAUUCACAGGUGC
RNAcentral lists this ribosomal RNA (251 nucleotides) under uncultured bacterium. Its description in RNAcentral is "partial 16S ribosomal RNA". It matches the Rfam family "Bacterial small subunit ribosomal RNA", at positions 796 to 1041 of the family's 1533-position model. The record is from RNAcentral.